This 506-nucleotide ribosomal RNA is filed under the name uncultured bacterium. RNAcentral describes it as "partial 16S ribosomal RNA". It matches the Rfam family "Bacterial small subunit ribosomal RNA", at positions 28 to 523 of the family's 1533-position model. The record is from RNAcentral.
GAUGAACGCUAGCUACAGGCUUAACACAUGCAAGUCGAGGGGUAACGAGAGGAAAGCUUGCUUUCCUUGUCGACGACCGGCGCACGGGUGAGUAACGCGUAUCCAACCUGCCCCCAACCAGGGAAUAACCUUGCGAAAGUAAGACUAAUACCCUAUAAUUUCCUCAGAUGUCAUCUGACGAGGAAUAAAGAUUUAUCGGUUGUGGAUGGGGAUGCGUCUGAUUAGCUUGUUGGCGGGGUAACGGCCCACCAAGGCAACGAUCAGUAGGGGUUCUGAGAGGAAGGGCCCCCACAUUGGAACUGAGACACGGUCCAAACUCCUACGGGAGGCAGCAGUGGGGAAUAUUGGUCAAUGGGCGGAAGCCUGAACCAGCCAAGUAGCGUGCAGGAUGACGGCCCUAUGGGUUGUAAACUGCUUUUAUACAGGAAUAAAGUUAGCCACGUGUGGUUAUUUGUAGGUACUGUAUGAAUAAGGACCGGCUAAUUCCGUGCCAGCCGCCGCGGUAA